Molecule: long non-coding RNA, 1803 nt
Filed under: Homo sapiens (human)
Lineage: Eukaryota; Metazoa; Chordata; Mammalia; Primates; Hominidae
Description: HSALNT0078486
Source: RNAcentral
GCCCUCUUUGCCUAAGAUGAGUCUGAAGUAUAAAUCUAAGGUCUUCUCAGAGGUCUUUUCUGAGCCUGCACCAUCCCCUAGGCUGUGCCAUGACUUUCUGAUUUCUCUCAUAUAUGCAAUUGUGUUUAUGUCUGGCUCCCAAAAGGGGAAAAUGAGAAAAAUGAAUGGGAGUGGGGAGGGAAACACCAGCUCUUUAAUUCUCCUGGAAGUCACUUCAACCAGAAGGUGAGGGGCUUGCAACAAUGGAAGUGCAACAAUGGCUAAUGACUCUCUGCACCUCUGUGAUCACGAGUGGCAGUUAGGAAUCAGAGCACAGAUCUAACGUUUUGAGGACAAUGUACUUUUUGCCCCCCUAGCUCCUACAAGCUGUGUGCAAACCACUCUAGGAACAUGUGCACAGCUGCGUGCCAUGAGAUUCAGUGGUAGGAGAUGGUUAGCUGCUGCUGUGCCAAGACUGGAAAUUGACCAAUUUUUUUUUUUUUUUGAGACAGAGUCUCGCUCUGUUACCUAGGCUGGAGUGCAGUGAGGUGAUCUUGGCUCACUGCAACCUCCGUCUCCCAGAUUCAAGUGGUUCUCCUGCCUCAGCCUCCAGAGUAGCUGGGACUACAGGCAUUCACCACCACGCCUGGCUAAUUUUAUAUUUUUCGUAGAGACGGAUUUUGCCAUGUUGGCCAUGCUGGUCUUGAACUCCUGACCUCAGGUGACCCAUCCACCUCAACCUCCCAAAGUGCUAGGAUUACAGGCAUGAGCCACUGCACCCCACCUCUCUUUUCCUUUUUUUGGUCUUAAAACAACAUGCAUUUAUUUGGGUCACAAUGCUAUAGAUUGGCUAUUUGGGCUGGGCUCCGCUGGGCAAUUCUUCUGGUCUCUGUUGGACUCAUUCCCGCAUAUUUUCCCCCAGUUGCUAGGUUGGCUAAGUGUCGGCUAUUCUAAGACAGAUGGCUCACUGCUGCUCCACAUAAUCUCAUCUCCCAGUAGGCUAGCCCAGGUUUGUUCUAUAGCAGCUGAGCAGGAUCCCAGAAAAGCAAGUGGAAGCAUGCAAGACUUCUUAAAGGUUACGCUUAAAACAACUACAUGAUCACUUUCACCACAUUCCAUUGGGCAAAACUUCAUAACACGGCUAGCUCAGAUUCCAGGGUUGAGGAAAUAGAUUCCACUCUUUAAUGAGGGGAGUUACAGAGACACAUUGCAAAUGAAUGAAUAUAGGGAGGAACAGAGAACUGGAGACAUUUCUGCAAUCCUCUUCAAAGCAUUAGCAUAUAUAUUUUGCCUUAGGCUUUAUUUUCUAAGGGACUCAGGCUAUGACAGUGUCUAUUACACUAAUUUUUUUUUAAAGAAAUUGACAAAAUUUAACCACAAUGUACUGUCCAAGUCUUCCUCUGGAAGCUGCAAGUUUCAAUAAAUUCUACAGUUCUAAAAUACAGAUGGUUCCUUGAUUUAUGACGGAAUUAUAUCCCAGAUAAAUCCAUCACAAGCUGAAAAUAUCUUAAGUCAAAAACACACUUUUGACAUAUUAUUUUUAACUUACAACGGGUUUAUCUGGGACAUAACCUCACUGUAAGUCGAGAAGCGUACUAAAAUCUAUAACAUUUUUGGACUAUUGUAAAGUUGAAAAAUCAUAAGUGAAACCGUCGUAAAUCAGGGAUUGUCUGUACAUAAGACAGACUCUGCCAGUGUAAUUUUUGUCUAGGUGAGGAGACAGAUUUCUGGUGCUUCCUAUUCUGCCAUUUUCCUAGAAUCCUCUCCUAUUUGUUUCAUUUUCAUUCAUUCUAUAUUGAUUAAUAUUAAACAUCUAAUAUUGUG